Podarcis lilfordi (Lilford's wall lizard) is the source of this 96-nucleotide non-coding RNA. The record is from the annotation of a GenBank genome assembly. NCBI's taxonomy places the organism in Eukaryota, Metazoa, Chordata, Lepidosauria, Squamata, Lacertidae.
AGGUGAAACUGCUGCUGCUUCUGAGUCCCUCUGUUACCAGCAGCCGAAUGUUGAAAGUGGCGCUGGUAGCAGAGGGACUCAGGAGUGGUGUCGGUG